RNAcentral lists this ribosomal RNA (1530 nucleotides) under Triticum aestivum (bread wheat). Its description in RNAcentral is "partial small subunit ribosomal RNA". The record is from RNAcentral. Lineage: Eukaryota; Viridiplantae; Streptophyta; Magnoliopsida; Poales; Poaceae.
AUGGACACCCUUGGUGCAAUAUUCCAAGAGGCUUGCCGGGUCAAGGUGUUGGCUGAUAUUGGAAGGAUGAGCUUGCCCUCUCGGGUCUCGAUCUAUGCCGACGAUGUCGUCGCCUUCAUCAACCCAUCCAACUCUGAGAUUCACGCUGCCGUCCGCCUCCUGGAAACUUUCAGAGAUGCAACGGGACUGAAGACCAACUGGGAUAAAAGUGCGGCUACCCCGAUCCGUUGUGAAGGGAUCACAAUUGAGGCUGUCAUGGAGGGCACCCAGUGCACGACUAAACCCUUCCCGAUCACUUAUCUGGGCCUGCCCCUCUCUGAUGUGCGCCUGAAACGAGAUGAUCUGCAGCCAAUCUUGGAUAGCUUGGCAAAAAGAUUGCGAGGUUGGAAGGCCAAGCUAAUCUCCCUGCCGGGCAGAAUCGAGUUGAUCCGCACGACACUCUCUGCUAUGGCCAUCUACAGACUCAUGGCGAUCGCGCCGCCGGCAUGGUUCAUCAAGCUUGUUGACCGGCUCCGCCACGGUUUUCUCUGGGCGGCGGAUGAAGCUACACCUGCGGGUAGGUGUCUGGUCAGUUGGCGCCAGGUAUGCCGUCCUCGCGAGCUCGGCGGCCUGGGAAUCCUUGACCUUCAGAAGCAAGGCGCCGCGCUCAGAGCACAGUGGUUCUGGAACAAAUGGACAGACGGGACAAGUCAGUGGCACGACCUGAUCAUGCCCAACGAUCCGGCAGCGGAGAAUGUUUUCUGGGCAGCAACUGAGGUCAUCAUUGGUGAUGGAUGCAAGGCAAAUUUCUGGCGCUCGCAUUGGGCGCAUGGCUGCAGACCGGCGGACAGAUGGCCCAACCUCUUCCGCCACUGCAACGGCCGCCGACUCACCAUCAGAGAUGCAAUCACCAACGAUAGGUGGCUGCAGUAUGUCAAGGCUGACCCGUCGGGCGUGGUGCUCCAAGAGCUCUGUGACUUGUGGGAGGCGACCAGAGCCAUUACCCUGACGGAGGGCUCAACGGACCAGAUCAGAUGGAGACUGACGACGUCUGGGCAGUACACAGCGGCAUCGGCCUACCGGAUGCAGUUCCAGGGCUCGAUCCCGACAAAUGACAACGCCAUCAUCUGGAAUGCCAAAGCGGCGCCGAGGGCCAAGGCUUUUGCAUGGAUCCUCCUCCGAGGCAAGUGUCUCACGGCUGAUAACCUUGCCCGACGACAAAUCCCUCAUGACCCGUUGUGCCCUCUCUGUCGCAGCGAGCCCGAGACGGCAGUGCACCUGAUCAGCUCUUGCCAUUUCUCCAAGUCUAUCUGGGCAAGAACUGCACCUUCCCUCGGCCAGCCAUUCUCGGCCAUCGACAUGAACAGUGAACACUGGCGGCUGCCUGCGAGACCGCUUCAGACGUCAGACUGCAGCCCUGUCGCGCUCUUGCAGACCCACAUGGCGAGCUACUUGCCUGCUGGUGGCUUGGUGCCUCUGGAAGGAGAGAAACGCCAGGAUCUUCGAGGGCAAAGUCUGUACCGAGACACAGUUAGCUCGCAAAAUCGUUGA